GAUGAAGAACGCAGCGAAAUGCGAUACUUGGUGUGAAUUGCAGAAUCCCGUGAACCAUCGAGUCUUUGAACGCAAGUUGCGCCCGAAGCCAUUAGGCCGAGGGCACGCCUGCCUGGGCGUCACACGUCGUUGCCCCCCCAUCUACUCCUUCGGGAUUGCGGGGGGCGGAUGAUGGCCUCCCGUGCGCCUUGUCGCGCGGUUGGCAUAAAUACCAAGUCCUCGGCGACGCACGCCACGACAAUCGGUGGUUGCGAAACCUCGGUUGCCCGUCGUGUGCGGUCGUCGCGCAUCGAGGGCUCGAAAAAAUUGCCGGGCUCCGGCUCGGCUUUCAACGCGACCCCAGGUCAGGCGGGGUUACCCGCUGAAUUUAAGCAUAUCAAUAAGCGGAGGA
Molecule: unclassified non-coding RNA, 391 nt
Filed under: soil metagenome
Description: partial contains 5.8S ribosomal RNA, internal transcribed spacer 2, and large subunit ribosomal RNA
Rfam family: 5.8S ribosomal RNA (bases 1-122)
Source: RNAcentral